CUCCACUGUUGUCCUAUGACCCUGCCAAAUCCCCCUCUGCGAGAAACACCCAAGAAUGAUCAAUUAAAAAAAAAAAAGAAAAAAGAAAAAAGAAAAAAUACACCCUGGCAGAAAACUUCUCGAAUGUAAGUAAAGUGGGAGUUUUCAACUUGCCCACCUCCUUACAAAAACAUGCAAUAAGAAUGUGCUAGAUAUAAAGCUUACAAAUGUGAGAAAUACGGGAAGUUUUUCAAUUUUAACAAAUACUUUCAAAGUCAUGUGAAAAUUCUCACUAGAAAGAAAUCCAAUAAAGGCAAGUUGAGGCAUUAAAAAAAAAAAAAGAAAAAGCUCAGAAUACAUAUAAGAUUGACUAAGUCAGCCAGAAAAUAAUCCCCUAAAAGAAAUUUCUCUCUAAACACCCAAUGUGCACAGCUACUCUCAGCAUGAGAAACAUGAGCUUUAUGAAGAAAGGUGGCAGAUUUUCAGAAGAAUUUUAUAAAAGUUUCUUUUCCAUCUCUGCUGCUGUCUCAUCUCCUAGCCAUUGAAUGGGGGUUCUAUAUUGAAAUACAUCUGACAACUUCCAACAACACUUUUUGAUCAAGAAAUAGAAUUUGACUAUGUUCGUAUAGUGGAAUAUAUUAGAACUUGUAACAUAGCUAACUGAAUAGCUAUUAUGGUGUUUGGGUGGCCACAUCACCUGUCUUUAUUUGUCCGGUAAUAGCAGCAUUCCAAUUUAAAGAAAUAAAA
This 726-nucleotide long non-coding RNA is filed under the name Homo sapiens (human). Its description in RNAcentral is "HSALNT0257025". Lineage: Eukaryota; Metazoa; Chordata; Mammalia; Primates; Hominidae. The record is from RNAcentral.